CGGACGGGUGAGUAACACGUGGAUAACCUACCUAUAAGACUGGGAUAACUUCGGGAAACCGGAGCUAAUACCGGAUAAUAUAUUGAACCGCAUGGUUCAAUAGUGAAAGACGGUUUUGCUGUCACUUAUAGAUGGAUCCGCGCCGCAUUAGCUAGUUGGUAAGGUAACGGCUUACCAAUGCAACGAUGCGUAGCCGACCUGAGAGGGUGAUCGGCCACACUGGAACUGAGACACGGUCCAG
This 241-nucleotide ribosomal RNA is filed under the name uncultured Staphylococcus sp. RNAcentral describes it as "partial 16S ribosomal RNA". It matches the Rfam family "Bacterial small subunit ribosomal RNA", at positions 99 to 334 of the family's 1533-position model. Lineage: Bacteria; Bacillati; Bacillota; Bacilli; Caryophanales; Staphylococcaceae. The record is from RNAcentral.